CUGGAUGGCAGCCUGCCACCUGACAGCCGCCUGGAGAACAACAUGCUGAUGCUGCCCUCAGUCCGACCCCAGGACGCAGGUACCUACGUCUGCACCGCCACUAACCGCCAGGGCAAGGUCAAAGCCUUUGCCCACCUGCAGGUGCCAGAGCGGGUGGUGCCCUACUUCACGCAGACCCCCUACUCCUUCCUACCGCUGCCCACCAUCAAGGAUGCCUACAGGAAGUUCGAGAUCAAGAUCACCUUCCGGCCCGACUCAGCCGAUGGUGAGCAGGAGGGUUAAUUUGCGGGGUGGGCUGGCCUGGGUUGAGGGACCUCGUGGAGUAACUGCCAUCAUGGCAGGAGCCCUGGCUGCCCCUCAGUCCUGCCCCAAUCCCUCAGCCCUCCCUCUCCAGAAGCCCCCAGACCUCUGGGCCUC
RNAcentral lists this long non-coding RNA (417 nucleotides) under Homo sapiens (human). Its description in RNAcentral is "non-protein coding lnc-USP48-2:1". The record is from RNAcentral. Lineage: Eukaryota; Metazoa; Chordata; Mammalia; Primates; Hominidae.